AUCAUCGAAUCUUUGAACGCACAUUGCGCCCUCUGGUAUUCCGGGGGGCAUGCCUGUUCGAGCGUCAUUA
Molecule: ribosomal RNA, 70 nt
Filed under: Leptodophora orchidicola
Lineage: Eukaryota; Fungi; Ascomycota; Leotiomycetes; Helotiales
Description: Cadophora orchidicola partial 5.8S ribosomal RNA
Rfam family: 5.8S ribosomal RNA
About the family: 5.8S ribosomal RNA (5.8S rRNA) is a component of the large subunit of the eukaryotic ribosome. It is transcribed by RNA polymerase I as part of the 45S precursor that also contains 18S and 28S rRNA. Functionally, it is thought that 5.8S rRNA may be involved in ribosome translocation.
Source: RNAcentral